This 486-nucleotide ribosomal RNA is filed under the name uncultured bacterium. Its description in RNAcentral is "partial 16S ribosomal RNA". It matches the Rfam family "Bacterial small subunit ribosomal RNA", at positions 29 to 507 of the family's 1533-position model. The record is from RNAcentral.
AUUGAACGCUGGCGGCAUGCUUUACACAUGCAAGUCGAGCGGCAGCGCGGGGGCAACCCUGGCGGCGAGCGGCGAACGGGUGAGUAAUGCAUCGGAACGUAUCCUCGAGUGGGGGAUAACCCAGCGAAAGUUGGGCUAAUACCGCAUGAGCUCUGAGGAGGAAAGCGGGGGACCUGCGAGGGCCUCGCGCUGGAGGAGCGGCCGAUGUCCGAUUAGCUAGUUGGUGGGGUAAAGGCUUACCAAGGCGACGAUCGGUAGCUGGUCUGAGAGGAUGAUCAGCCACACUGGGACUGAGACACGGCCCAGACUCCUACGGGAGGCAGCAGUGGGGAAUUUUGGACAAUGGGGGCAACCCUGAUCCAGCCAUGCCGCGUGAGUGAAGAAGGCCUUCGGGUUGUAAAGCUCUUUCGGACGGAACGAAAUGGGCGGGACUAACACUCCUGUCUGAUGACGGUACCGUAAGAAGAAGCACCGGCUAACUACGUG